AGCAGCCGCGGUAAUUCCAGCUCCAAUAGCGUAUAUUAAAGUUGUUGCAGUUAAAAAGCUCGUAGUUGAAUUUCGGGGUUAGUAGGUUGGUCAUGCCUCUGGUAUGUACUGGUCUCACUGAUUCCUCCUUCCUUAUGAACCGUAAUGCCAUUAAUUUGGUGUUGCGGGGAAUUUGGACUGUUACUUUGAAAAAAUUAGAGUGUUUAAAGCAAGCUAACGCUUGAAUACAUUAGCAUGGAAUAAUGAAAUAGGACGUUCGAUCUUAUUUUGUUGGUUUCUAGGAUUGACGUAAUGAUUAAUAGGGAUAGUUGGGGGCAUUAGUAUUCAAUUGUCAGAGGUGAAAUUCUUGGAUUUAUUGAAGACUAACUACUGCGAAAGCAUUUGCCAAGGAUGUUUUCAUUAAUCAAGAACGAAAGUUAGGGGAUCGAAGAUGAUCAGAUACCGUCGUAG
RNAcentral lists this ribosomal RNA (450 nucleotides) under uncultured Glomeromycotina. Its description in RNAcentral is "SSU rRNA". It matches the Rfam family "Eukaryotic small subunit ribosomal RNA", at positions 569 to 1023 of the family's 1831-position model. Lineage: Eukaryota; Fungi; Glomeromycota. The record is from RNAcentral.